AAGUCAUUAGAAGAUAGAUGGCAUUUUAGGCUACUGGAUUGAAAGUCAUGAUAGAAAGAAAGUGAGGGAAAAGAAGGCCCAGAACAAGGCUGUAUUGUAGAUAAAUGUAUAUUUAAAUUUUCUGUACCUUGUGAUGUUUUGAUAUCUUAGAAAAUCUUUCUAACUGGGGAAGAGAUCACCUUUGCUUGAGGCUAGCCAAUUCUUUUUUUGUUUUGUUUUGUUUUGUUUUUGAGAUGGAGUCUCGCUCUGUCGCCCAGGCUGGAGUGCAGUGGCGCCAUCUUGGGUCACUGCAAGCUCCGCCUCCCGGGUACACACCAUUCUCCUGCUUCAGCCUCCCCAUUAGCUGGGACUACAGGUGCCUACCACCAUGCCCGGCUAAUUUUUUUGUAUUUUUAGUAGAGACGGAGUUUCACCGUGUUAGCCAGGAUGGUCUUGAUCUCCUGACCUCGUGAUCCGCCUGCCUCGGCCUCCCGAAGUGCUGGGAUUACAGGCGUGAGCCACUGCGAACAGCCGCCAAUACUUAAGAUAGGAAAGGGACCAGCCUGAAGCACGCAAACUAACCAACCCAGAGCCACAUUUCCUCUACCUUGCCCACAUACCCUGGAAACAAUAUUCUUCUGUCUUAAGCAACCCAGGGCCAGGUACCAGGCAACUAGAGAACACUCCUGUUUCCCAAAUUCUGGAGAAAUUAUUCAAAGUAGUCCUAAACUGUUCAUCCUAUCCUGCCUUACCCUUCUCUCAGAAACCCCAACAAAGGCCAUGCCUUACAACUUACCUUGCUCCUGUUUCUGCCUCCUGACCACUCUGGUCUUCCCCAUGUUGCCAUGUAUGGCAUGCCUCCUGUCUCUAGGACCUAUGCAGCAAAAGAGAAAAACAAUGAAAGUCUGUAUUAGUAACCAGAAAAACGGUCAGAAGUCUGAGGUACCUGAGAGAAGACAGCAAAAUGAGAUCUGGAAUUUGAGGAGCACCUGUUAGGAGAAGAGCCAUCUCUACUACUCCCCAAAAGAUUCCCUGUUCUAGUUGGCCUUCUAUAUUGGUGGUUUCUGAAUACAUACCCCAAAGAACCUGAGCAUCAGUGAAUUCUGGUAUCUUCUGGGAGCCCUGGAACUAAUCUCUUGAAGAUACCAACGGAUGACUGUGUUUUAAAAGGCGAGAGAGAGAUGUCACUCAGGACUGCUUCCGAAGGAGUUUCCCUUGAAGCUUGCUUCACUGUCUGACUCCUUUCAUACAAGUGGGUAACAUGCCCUUCAUUCAGAACCAAACCUGUGCCCUGGCUUGGUAUAUUUCCUCCACCUGCUGAGCAUCCUCUCACCCUCUACUUUUACCUGGAAGAAAGAAGACAAUAAUAUCUACCAAUCAAGAUGCUGUACCUGAAGCAGAAGAUAACCUGGCAAAGAAAAGAGUAUAGUGCUGCCUUCAGGGAACUCCUAGUCUAGGGGAAGACAGCCAAUAAUCACAUAACUGCUCUAAUCAAAUAUUUCACCAAAAUAAAGUAUUAGCCACCUCCUAGAAUCCAGGCUCUGUUUGAAUUGCUAACUGAAGAAAUC
RNAcentral lists this long non-coding RNA (1547 nucleotides) under Homo sapiens (human). RNAcentral describes it as "HSALNT0358868". Lineage: Eukaryota; Metazoa; Chordata; Mammalia; Primates; Hominidae. The record is from RNAcentral.